CUCUGGCGGCAUUGCCGUCAUGAUGCUAACCCGAGAACAAAUUUAUGUGCAUAUUGAGGAACCGCAUUGGAAGGUGCGUGUUAGCUUGUCGUGCUCCUAGUAAUGCCCUCGAGUCGCGGGGUUGAGCGCGUGAGCUUGCUUUCGCGAGCGACUUUCAUUGUGAUGGUCUUGAACUAGGCUCCGUUUGGACCUAGGACGGGCCAUGACGAUAGAUCGCAAAAGCACCUCCCCUUGGGUCCCCCGGAUAAACUCUCGAGUUUAUCCAAUGGGUGUGGCUGGAGGGCAACCUCGACAACCCAAACAAAAAACAUGCAACCCCUUCUUUUAAACCGAUCAUCCUGAUCGCAUUGAAAACCGUGGCCAUUACAGCCCGCGUUUCAAAAUCAAUCUAAACAACUCUCAACAACGGAUAUCUUGGCUCUCGCAACGAUGAAGAACGCAGCGAA
RNAcentral lists this unclassified non-coding RNA (446 nucleotides) under Xanthidium cristatum var. cristatum. Its description in RNAcentral is "sequence contains ITS1 and 5.8S rRNA gene". The stretch from base 395 to 446 matches the Rfam family "5.8S ribosomal RNA", at positions 1 to 52 of the family's 154-position model. The record is from RNAcentral. Lineage: Eukaryota; Viridiplantae; Streptophyta; Zygnematophyceae; Desmidiales; Desmidiaceae.